Long non-coding RNA from Xiphophorus couchianus (Monterrey platyfish), 4187 nucleotides. RefSeq lists it as uncharacterized. The transcript is spliced from 2 exons. The record is from RefSeq and is a predicted model, not a curated record. NCBI's taxonomy places the organism in Eukaryota, Metazoa, Chordata, Actinopteri, Cyprinodontiformes, Poeciliidae.
AAAAAUCUAAACUAUGAAAAAAAAAAAAAAGUCUUCUGUUACUAAAAUAAAAUAAGGUCUGGACAGACAAAAGGAAGUCCUGCUGUAGUCCAGGAUGCGGGAAAAGGAAAAGACUCGAGGAUCCAUGAAGCUGACGCGCUUCGGACUGAUUUAUGGCGCCGAGCGUGUAAACAGCAGACAGAAAUACACGCGGAGGCCCAAACUACAACCAGAUCGCUUCCCACAGGCGACCAUGUGCGGCACACGGCGCAGCGUGGGGGCAAGUUGCGUGUGAGCGGCAGAGUGUGUGUCAGCCAUAAGUGUGUGUGUGUGUGCUUUCCACGCAAUUAUAUGGGGGUCUUGUGCAACGCGCUGAAAGGCUCGAAUUGGAUUGCGUGUCCAUAAAUCACACGUGGAGUUGCUUAUUGCCGUCUGGCGUGAAUUUCAGGGAAAAGGCCUUGACGAUCAGCGAUCUCCAAGCCUUUCCCCUCCCGUCUCUUUUUAGCACAGCUGUAUAGCGGGAACACUGGGGGUCCUGCAGGCGGGCCCAGAUGUGUUUGUUCCAAGCCGCCGGUGGUGGCGCUUCGCUGGAGGUGCCUCCUCCACCAUUCUUCUCCAGAUGGACACAUCCUUCCUGCUCAGGGUGGAAGGAAGGGGAAAUAUGUUUUAAAUGAGAUCAGGAACUCGGCGAGCAGAGAACUCGGUUUUCGCGCCAGAAGAUUGUGAGGGUAAAUAUGAACUUGGGAACUCGUUCGGCCCUGUUUUCUGGAUCAGCCUCUGCGUGCGCCUGGUGUUGGGGGAAAAGGUGAGAUUUAUAGCACUCCUCCAACUGUAAAAGAUAAAUAAAUAAAAUGAGAAUAGCGGCAAUAGUUGCGCUCCAACUAAGUUUAGAACAUGUCGUCACCUUCCUGCCUUUAUGUUGUUGGUACGGAAGGAGAUUAGGGUCACUAAAAAAAGACAAAGAAUUAUGACUUUUUUUCUCAUAAUUCUGACUUUGAUCUCAGACGAUUUGUGAGAAUUCAGAGAAAUUAGAUUAAAGUCGGAAUAUUUAUUUCAGGGGCCCUAAUCCACUGGGCCCCUAAUUAGGGGCCCUAAUCCACUGGGCCCCUAAUUAGGGGCCCUAAUCCACUGGGCCCCUAAUCAGUGUUUGAAUCUGUUUCCUUCAGAUUCAAACACAAAGUAGUGCGACAUUUUAAACGUGGCAAAUUUCAAAAUGAAAAGCAGCAACAAAAACGUUUCAGAUCGAAGCACAUUCAUGUACUCCAGCGGUCCAGUCCAAGUAACGACCUAAACCAACCCUGACAUUGUGGUAAGGCUCGAAAAAUCGACGUUUGGAGACAGAGGAUGGCGUGAAGGAAACAAUUUCAGUUUGGGUUGCAAAGCAGAGAGGCGGAAUAAAAACGGAGGCCGUGCUAUUCAUUUGUAAUUUGUGAAAUAAAUAAACAACCACGUAUGAUUUUUUUCUUUCCAAUUAUGCAGAUUGUUGUGUUGAUUCGUUACCUAAAAUAAAAAAAGCAUAAAUGCAAGUGACUGAAAUGGGACAACGUUCAGUUCGUGGUAAAGCAAGGCGACCGCAUUUUGAUUCUUCUACUGUCUAGUUUCUUACAAAAGGAAAAAAAAAACGAUUUGUGGUUUGUCUGAGCUAAGCACAUCCUGUAAUCGCUGACUCUGUUUCUCUUUGGUAAAGCUAUGUAGAAAUUACAUUUUUAAUUUUUUUUUCACAAUUUGAAUAUGUCCAAUUCAAAUUCUUGACAAGUAUGGCAACUUUUCUUUCUGCUUCUUCUUGCAAAUAAUCUGCUGAGCUCCCACAAAGGGUCUGCAGGCACAGAACGCUGUGAUUUGAGCAUGAAGAUCGAGAAGUACUGACUUUCAUUUCAGGUGGGAGGUGGGAAAACAAAUCCAGAUCAGUGAGAAUAAAAAAAAUGUAGAUACAGCGAAGAAGAGAGAAACAGCAGUGCAAAAAUAGAAUUUCCUGUUUAGGCAGAACAAACUUGACACCGAAAGUCAAGGCUGAGAAGAGCUGCUGCUCUCAGAGUCAUGUGACUCUGCCGUGACCUCACAGUUUCCUUGAGCCAGAUUUCAACAGCCUCCUACCACACACACAGUACAACCUGUUGCCUCCGAAUGUUUUUCUUUGACUAAAUCGCCUCUGAAAACGUUUGCUCCCACCGGCAGUUCCCCUUCUGACACGUACAAUCCCACAAACCCUCGGCGUUUUACAGAUGACAACCAAAUCUGGGCGUUUCUCUCGUAACUCUAUUUUAUAAAGAGGCAGCAUCAUGUAAAAAUGGAUUCUUUUCGGCUUCGCGUCACGUCAUAAUGUCGCUCCCUCACCAAAUACGUACCCGGAGUGUUGCCUUGACGCUUUCAUGCAUGUUUGAGAAAUCCUCUCAUCUCCACGGCAACCAUUCGGCUGCGGGUGGACGUGGCCCCGCCUUCGAGGACGAAGCUCCUCCUCCGAGCUGCAGCUUACAAGAUUCUGCAUGGCAAAUCCCAGCUCCCUAGUGGCUCAGCUCCUUCAGACUAGCCACCAGCAAUUAGCAACCACCUGGUGGAACGUCUUCUGAGCUCAUCACAUCAGCUUCUUCUCAGAGAAACGCUGGGAAAACAAUGUUAAAGGGUUAAUAAAGGAGCCAUGUUGUGAUGACUUCCUGAAGGCCGAGUGUCAGAAAGAAACAGGAGUUUUUAAAGGGACAGAGGUAAAUUUCCAAGCCGUUCAAUUUCUUUUAAGUGAUACUUGAUAUGUAAAGAAUUUUUAUAGCAACUCUGGUUGACAUAGUUACUUGCUUGUGCUCUAGAGUCGCACUAUGUGGGUGGAAAACACACAAUUCUGCCCCUUUAAGACGUUUCUCAUGUGCAGCAGUGCAGAGGUCAGCGGCGUCCCUUAUCUUACAGCUGAACUCUCCUCGUUCUCUCACCUGCUAAAUCCCGAGGUCAUCUUGGCAGUUUGCUGCUCUUCAGAGUCACUGACGUCUCUGAUGCUGCCUCAGCUCGACUUUAACACCACUGCAGAGAACAGUUCCUCAUUGUGGGACUCUAACAGUGUCUGGAUUUGAAUCUGGGUAAAGAUGUACAGAGCACCAAGCACACAGUUACAUGCAAACAGAAACAUUAUAUUCAAAAUCAACAUUUAUUUUGAUGGAUUGUCAACUCAUUUCAGAAAUUCCUGACUGCCUCUUAAGUGAGCAGUGAUGGGAUUGAUCUUUCAAGAUAAAUCGACUGGACGUUAGGGUGGGCAUUUAUUGCAUCGUUUAUCACAAUAAGUUUCUUAUAAGAAUUUCGAUCUCCAAUUAAUCACGUUUUUAAAAAAUCCAAACUAUGUCCAUAUUGUCAAUAUUGCUAUGUUCUCCUAUUUUCUCAGAAAGGUCUCCAGGCAGACCUUUCUGCCUGUUCCAGAAAGGUCCAUCGAUAAAUACCAACAAAUUUGAAAAUAUGAUGAAAAACAAGUUACUGUGUGCAGUUUAUUGAUAUAAAAUCACUUAUUAAUGAAGUGUAAUACAAAUGGAUGUUUCUCAAGAGCAGAAAAUAGCAUUUUCAAAAAAAGGACUCAAUGACUGUCUUUCUCUCCCACAUUUUGCGAGUCACCCGUCUAGCCGAGGGUUAUGCUGUUCAUCUUUUCUGUACCGAAACAAAUUUUGUUGUGCUUCUGUUCGGUGACAAAGGCCGAUUCUGAAGAAAAAUGGGUGAGGACCAGGGUGAGGUUUUUAAAUAUUUUAAUACUUUUCUUAGAAAAACAAAAAAAAACAAAGAUGCUGUACUCCAUUAUAUGAAGAUGAAUCUAUUGACCUCAAUGCCUCACUCACCAACACAUUUUUCUGGGCAAAAUAAAUCGAAAGAAAAGACAAACAGCAAAGGAGAAAUAGGACACCUUGAAGAUGUGAAGAAAAGAAAAGAAAAGGAAGAAAAAAAAAAAUACAGUAAACGACAGAGCAGAAAACACUCCUGGAUCUCCGAGCCAAACCUCAAGGAAGCGGGAAAAUCUCCCGCUUCCAGAUCAACACAAUGGCACACAAAAUCCAAAACGCUCUCGCUGCGGACGACGAGCGCGAGGUAAGAGUGAUGAAGGGCAAAGUGAAGAGAAGUCCAUCAGAGACUAUUGAAACUGUGAUGAUCGUGGCAGGCGAGAUGGGCAAGACCGACUCAAAAUAUCCACAUGAAGGGAAGAAAGAAAAAUAAAAAAAAAACAAAGAAAUAUCUAAAAGAAAAAA